GCCAGUGACGAUAGCACGUUGGAUGUACCAGUUCCUAAUGGGUCACUGAAGUUAAGCAACGUUGCACGUGGUUGAUAUCCGGAUGGGUAACUAUGUGGGCACGAUUGCCCACAUAGUCACGUGCU
This 125-nucleotide ribosomal RNA is filed under the name Diaphorina citri (Asian citrus psyllid). The record is from RNAcentral. Lineage: Eukaryota; Metazoa; Arthropoda; Insecta; Hemiptera; Psyllidae.